ACAAGCGGAGGAACAUGUGGUUAAUUCGAUGAUACGCGAGGAACCUUACCUGGGCUAGAACGCAUUCGGAAUCAGGCCGAAAGGCCUGCGCCAGCGAUGGCCGCUUGCGAGGUGCUGCAUGGUUGUCGUCAGCUCGUGCCGUGAGGUGUCGGGUUAAGUCCCAUAACGAGCGCAACCCCUACUGCUAGUUGCCAGCGGGUCAUGCCGGGGACUCUAGCGGAACUGCCAGCGUAAGCUGCGAGGAAGGUGGGGAUGACGUCAAAUCAGCACGGCCCUUACGUCCAGGGCUACACACGUGCUACAAUGGCCGAUACAGAGGGCAGCUACCUGGUGACAGGAUGCAAAUCUCCAAAGUCGGUCUCAGUUCGGAUCGGAGUCUGCAACCCGACUCCGUGAAGUUGGAUUCGCUAGUAAUCGCGCAUCAGCCAUGGCGCGGUGAAUACGUUCCCGGGCCUU
This 456-nucleotide ribosomal RNA is filed under the name uncultured Sphingobacteriales bacterium. Its description in RNAcentral is "bacterial SSU rRNA". It matches the Rfam family "Bacterial small subunit ribosomal RNA", at positions 925 to 1382 of the family's 1533-position model. Lineage: Bacteria; Pseudomonadati; Bacteroidota; Sphingobacteriia; Sphingobacteriales. The record is from RNAcentral.